UGUAUUAUUAGCUAACUAGCUACAGUGCAGGCUAACUCAAAUGAGCUGCAAACGUAACUAGCUAGUUAUCUAGCCAACUACUGUAUAGAUAGCUAGCUAAGUGAAUUACAUUUAACCAGCUACCUAACUUCAUAUUAGAUGGCUAUCUUAAUAUAUAUAUUACUGUAAAAAACCAACUCCAAAUGCAUUUGUAGAUAGCUAGCUAACAACCAUGGAGGAGGGUGAAAGGAUAGCAGCCCCAUCUGUCAAAGUGAGAGAGUAGGCUAUUCUGGAUAGGGCAGGUACUUUUGUGUAUUUCCAGUCCCUAGAAGUAGGGACAGAGAACAUAAUUCAGUGCUGUCUAAUUUGAGUAUAAUUUAGUCUGUUUCUUGUGUGGUUUUCUGUCCUCAGGCUGUGAAAACAUGUCUGCAGAUGAAGAGGUCCCAAUGAAAAGCAGUGGUUCUCAGUCCUGGUCUGGGGACUCAAAGGGGUGCACAUUUUUGUUUUUGAUUAGCAGUACACAGCUGAUUCAAAUGAUCAAGUCAUCAUCAAGCUUCAAGUGAUACCUUGUAACUGGAGAUUCCUUAAAAACGAUUGCCUACAGUUACCGUGUAGGGCACUGCAAGGUUGGGUGACCAGGGCCAUCUGGGACUGCCUCCUGGGGGAAUUCAGGCAUGUGAAGGCUACCUGUGUCCUGCAUAAGUUCAUGAGGAUGGACACGAGGACCAGGAGGGGAUCUGCAGCUCGCCGCCGUUUGCCAGAGGAGAGGUCUGCUGCUCUGCAGGAUGUUUCAAGGAUGGGGGCCAACAACGCAGCACGGGAGGCAAUCCAUGUGCGGUAAAUCUUCACCUCCUACUUCUUCGAAGAGGGUGCUGUUCCCUGGCAACACCAUAGACUACACUAUGCACAACCAAAUGCUAUUUUAUGAGCCAUCCACAUGGCAACUGCAGUUAUUCAAUUCCCAGUUUCUCUCCUUUUGAUUUCUACGUCUCAGGUGAGGGUGUAAGGGUGAUGUCUGUACCAAAACAAAACAGGCUCUUUUAAGAGUCACACAUAUUGAACAAAUGUAGAACAAUUAGACACCCUAUAGCCCACACCUACACACUUGUGUAUCAAUCUAAUUGAUGGAUUGUGUUGUGCAUUAAGCAGGCUCAGGUGUAUAACUGUGGCUCCUUCCACGUUCAAAGAAUAGGCAAGAGGACCAACCAUUGAGAAUAGUUAUAUCAGUUGUGUCGGUGAACCCUUCCUGGAUCUGAACUGCUGACACAUAGAGGGCACAGCAUGAUCAGAGGUAUGUUUUGAUGUGAGAGGACCCCAAGUCCCGUCAUCGCCACCUCACCUGCUCUUAAGAUAAUCUUCGGGCCAACUGGGGGCCCAAGGCCUGUUAGGAGACACCGCUAGAGACACUAUUAUGGAAUUGUGAUGAACUGAGAGAAUAUAAAGUUUAGUAGCGCUGUAAUUCAUUAAUCAUAUGCUGUCUUCCCUGCUCCUCUGUUCUUAACUCUUUCCCUUUCUGUCUUUUACACUCUCUCACUCCUCUCUCCCAGUCCUCUCUUUCUUCCUCUGUUUUUAUAAUGGACACCAGAUGUGCAUUGAUGUACAGAUUGAAUUUGUAAUUAUAAUAUUACAACUAUAAUAUUUAUAAUGCAUUUAUUUAUAACACUUGGAUAAUUAACUUCUUUAAAUAAAGCAUUUCACAUUCUC
Coregonus clupeaformis (lake whitefish) is the source of this 1683-nucleotide long non-coding RNA. RefSeq lists it as uncharacterized. The transcript is spliced from 4 exons. NCBI's taxonomy places the organism in Eukaryota, Metazoa, Chordata, Actinopteri, Salmoniformes, Salmonidae. The record is from RefSeq and is a predicted model, not a curated record.